AGAGUUUGAUCAUGGCUCAGGAUGAACGCUAGCUACAGGCUUAACACAUGCAAGUCGAGGGGAAACGGCAUUGAGUGCUUGCACUCUUUGGACGUCGACCGGCGCACGGGUGAGUAACGCGUAUCCAACCUUCCCAUUACUGUGGGAUAACCUGCCGAAAGGCAGACUAAUACCGCAUAGUCUUCGAUGACGGCAUCAGAUAUGAAGUAAAGAUUUAUCGGUAAUGGAUGGGGGAUGCGUCUGAUUAGCUUGUUGGCGGGGUAACGGCCCACCAAGGCGACGAUCAGUAGGGGUUCUGAGAGGAAGGUCCCCCACAUUGGAACUGAGACACGGUCCAAACUCCUACGGGAGGCAGCA
This 357-nucleotide ribosomal RNA is filed under the name uncultured bacterium. RNAcentral describes it as "bacterial SSU rRNA". It matches the Rfam family "Bacterial small subunit ribosomal RNA", at positions 8 to 353 of the family's 1533-position model. The record is from RNAcentral.